CACCAGACUUGCCCUCCAAUUGAUCCUCGAUAAGGGAUUUAAAUUGUUCUCAUUCCAAUUGCCAGACCUACAAAGGCCCGGCAUUGUUAUUUAUUGUCACUACCUCCUUGUUCAAGAUUGGGUAAUUUACGCG
RNAcentral lists this ribosomal RNA (133 nucleotides) under uncultured bacterium. Its description in RNAcentral is "partial 16S ribosomal RNA". The record is from RNAcentral.